This 172-nucleotide ribosomal RNA is filed under the name uncultured bacterium. Its description in RNAcentral is "partial 16S ribosomal RNA". It matches the Rfam family "Bacterial small subunit ribosomal RNA", at positions 358 to 525 of the family's 1533-position model. The record is from RNAcentral.
GCGGUCUGGCCAAUGGGCGCAGCCUGAUGCAGCCAUGCCGCGUGAAUGAUGAAGGCCUUCGGGUUGUAAAGCUCUUUCAGCGAGGAGGAUGGUGACGGUGUUAAUAACCUUGGCGAUUGACGUUACUCGGCCAACAAGCACCGGCUUCUCCAUGCCAGCAGCCGCGAUAAUA